AUUAUAGUUCUGUGUAUACCCAACGCCACGAUAUCCCCAAUGCCACAACCUUCUUCUUCACUGGAAAACCUUCUUCUUCUGCAAGAAUCUUCUCCUUCCUCUUCAAAAUCGCCGAUUCCCCCAUCUCCCUCUCUCUAAAAAAUCCGAUACCCCCAUCCCUCUCUCCGAUGCCCUGAAAAACUCUCAGUCCUCUUUUAAUUUAGAUUUUUCUGAGGUUUAGUUUGAUUAAGUGCAGAAUGAAUCUGAGAAACUAAGAUUUUGUGCAAAGGGUUUGUAUCCUUUGAAGGGCUUAGGUAAACUUGUUGUGCAAAGGUUACAAAUGAAGAUCGGAGAAACAAUUUGAAGACCCAAAUACUAAGAUUUGAAGUGUGGGAACCAAAUUCCGACUUCAAACAAAGAUUCCUAAACUAUUGUGUGCAGGUCAACUUUUGGGUUAAACUUUGAGUGUGUUGAUCAAAUUUGAUAAUGAGUAUUUGAUGUUAGUUGUUGCUGUUGAGUAGUAGAAAUCGUUCCCUCUUUCUUUUGGUGAAAUUUGUUUGUAAAUCACACUUUUUUGAUUCAAUUCAUAUGCAUAUAUUCAUGACAGAAUGGUUGAAGAAAUUUCCGGCAUUCAUAUCAAGGGAACUGUGAGAUAUUUAUGCAUGUUACUGAGAUUUAAGAUGUGCAGUUAUGAUAUGACAAUGUUCUUGCUUCUAAGAUGAGUACAAGUGUUAUAAAGUGGUAUUGAUCUAUGAAAGGCGCUUCAAUUUAAACCUUCCGGAGGUUCAGAAAGCGUCUUUCAUGCAAUUAGGACCAACUUGCCUUAUAGCUGGUCGAUACAACAUUGUGCUAAAUUACGGUGAUACAGAUAGAAAUAUUAAUAUUCUUCCAUUGCUCAAAACGAUAAUCCAGAACGACAUUCCUAUUUUAGUUUUCAGUUGCAAAUCGAGCAAGCUUCAAUUGAAGUAAAAAAAGGGCAGCCCGUUGCACUAAGCUCCCGCUAUGCGCAAGCUCCGGGGAAGAGCCGGCAUUAAAGUAAGCUUUGUGCUUGCCUACUUAUGUGUCUGUUCAAGGUUAGUGUGCAAUAACUAUCACUAAUUUUAAUUUGCCAGUAAUAUUCUUAAAAUAAAGAGAUCAAAUUUUGUCAUGGAAAUGGGAUGAGAAGACUCUAAAAAAUUAAAGUGACAAAAUGUGAAUUUCACUUAAAGAUGUUAAUAUGCUGAUGAAUCCACAUAAAUUUUUUUGUCAAAUACUACAGAAAAGAAGACUUAUAAUAGCGAAGGUUUAUGGAAUGACCAACUUUCAAAUGGGAUGCAUCACGUUUGUCCAAGAUGUAAACAGUUUUCCCAAGGAAGCAUUUGCAUUGCAUAUUUAAGAAGGAAAAGAAGAAAAUAAAGAAAAGAAAAGAUUGUUGGGUAGGUAUCAGUUGGGUAUCUUAUGUAUGAAAUGUUACAACUGGUCAACUCAAUCGAAGUCCAACUUUUCAACUAGCUAAUUUUACCAGAUGAAGAUGCUAAAUAUUUUGGAAUUUUAUCCAAACGUGGCCUGAAGCUGAAGCAGGUUCUUUGUCUGCUUUUGAUCUGGUGGAGUAAAUCAAAAAAUCAAAGAAGAUGAUGAAAGUGAAGAACUAGACCGUACUUGAGAUGAAAUUUGAAUUGCUAUAGAUGAAUGUCCUAUAGGAAUCUUUUGUUAUCAACCUUUUUGAAAGUAAUUACUCUCUUAAAAUGUAUUAAACUUGUGCAUUUGGGGUAGAACAUUUGCUUUAUGGAUACUAUUUGCUUGAUGGAUAAUUUAUAUUAUUAAAAGUUUCAUUUUAUGAUU
Long non-coding RNA from Nicotiana attenuata, 1800 nucleotides. RefSeq lists it as uncharacterized. The record is from RefSeq and is a predicted model, not a curated record. NCBI's taxonomy places the organism in Eukaryota, Viridiplantae, Streptophyta, Magnoliopsida, Solanales, Solanaceae. The transcript has 9 exons.